GUAACACGUAGUCAACCUGCCCUGGAGACAUGGACAACCCCGGGAAACUGGGAUUAAUCCGUGAUAGGUCAUCUCAUCUGGAAGGAGAGAUGGCUUAAAGGGGUACGCGGGCUUCUUCUGCGUAUCUGCUCCAGGAUGGGACUGCGUCCGAUCAGGCUGUUGGCGGGGUAAUGGCCCACCAAACCUGUAACCGGUACGGGCCUUGAGAGAGGUGGCCCGGAGAUGGACACUGAGAGAAGGGUCCAGGUCCUACGGGGCGCAGCAGGCGCGAAACCUUCGCAAUGCGCGAAAGCGUGACGAGGUUAAUCCGAGUGGCCCCCGCUGAGGGGGUCUUUUGUCAGCUGUAAAUAGGCAGGCGAAUAAGGGGAGGGCAAGCCUGGUGUCAGCCGCCGCGGUAAUACCAGCUCCUCGAGUGGUCGGGGCGAUUAUUGGGCCUAAAGCAUCCGUAGCCGGUUCCGUAGGUCCUCUGUUAAAUCCAGCCGCUUAACGGUUGACAUGCAGAGGAUACCGCGGGACU
This 517-nucleotide ribosomal RNA is filed under the name uncultured archaeon. Its description in RNAcentral is "bacterial SSU rRNA". It matches the Rfam family "Archaeal small subunit ribosomal RNA", at positions 93 to 593 of the family's 1478-position model. The record is from RNAcentral.